RNAcentral lists this transfer RNA (66 nucleotides) under Trogoderma granarium. Its description in RNAcentral is "tRNA-Ala". The record is from RNAcentral. Lineage: Eukaryota; Metazoa; Arthropoda; Insecta; Coleoptera; Dermestidae.
AGGAUAAUAGUUAAAAUUAACAUUUAAUUUGCACUUAAAUAAGAAGCAAAAUAUGCGUUUAGUUUC